AAAGAAUAAAUAGAUAUUUGCGAUUGAAAAUGAUGUCCAUGCAAACGAUUAUGUUUUUUUUUUCAGUUUUAUUUUUUUUUUUUUUUGGGGGGGGGGGGGUCGUUAAAUGUCAUAUCCUUGACAUUUAUGUAUACAUCCGGUUACUUCGGUAAAUUCCGUAAUUACGAGUAUCCCGAAAACGUCGUUGAACCCAUGCAUCGAUACAACUAAUUGAAAGAUGUCAAAUUAAUUAACAGAUACUUAACGAUUUUGCGGCAUCGCACUAUAAACGUUUGAAGUCGGUUUGUUGGAGUUCCUGUCAAUAUAAUACUU
This 312-nucleotide long non-coding RNA is filed under the name Mytilus galloprovincialis (Mediterranean mussel). The record is from RNAcentral. Lineage: Eukaryota; Metazoa; Mollusca; Bivalvia; Mytilida; Mytilidae.